This 292-nucleotide ribosomal RNA is filed under the name uncultured bacterium. Its description in RNAcentral is "partial 16S ribosomal RNA". The record is from RNAcentral.
GGACUACCCGGGUAUCUAAUCCUGUUUGCUCCCCACGCUUUCGCGUCUCAGCGUCAGUAUCUGCCCAGAGAGCCGCCUUCGCCACUGGUGUUCCUCCCGAUAUCUACGAAUUUCACCUCUACACCGGGAAUUCCGCUCUCCUCUUCAGUACUCCAGCUCCGUAGUAUCCAGUGCACUUCCAGGGUUGAGCCCUGGGCUUUCACACCGGACUUGCAAAGCCGCCUACACGCGCUUUACGCCCAGUAAUUCCGAGCAACGUUUGCACCCUCUGUCUUACCGCGGCUGCUGGCAC